UACGGGGGGAGCAAGCGUUGUUCGGAUUUACUGGGCGUAAAGGGCGCGUAGGCGGCCACCGCAAGUCGACUGUGAAAUCUCCGGGCUUAACCCGGAAAGGUCAGCCGAUACUGCGGGGCCAGAGUGCAGAAGGGGCAACUGGAAUUCUCGGUGUAGCGGUGAAAUGCGUAGAUAUCGAGAGGAACACCUGCGGCGAAGGCGGGUUGCUGGGCUGACACUGACGCUGAUGCGCGAAAGCUAGGGGAGCGAACGGG
Molecule: ribosomal RNA, 254 nt
Filed under: uncultured bacterium
Lineage: Bacteria
Description: partial 16S ribosomal RNA
Rfam family: Bacterial small subunit ribosomal RNA
Source: RNAcentral